Molecule: ribosomal RNA, 165 nt
Filed under: uncultured bacterium
Lineage: Bacteria
Description: partial 16S rRNA
Rfam family: Bacterial small subunit ribosomal RNA
Source: RNAcentral
UAGGGAAUCUUCCACAAUGGACGCAAGUCUGAUGGAGCAACGCCGCGUGAGUGAAGAAGGUCUUCGGAUCGUAAAACUCUGUUGUUAGAGAAGAACACGAGUGAGAGUAACUGUUCAUUCGAUGACGGUAUCUAACCAGCAAGUCACGGCUAACUACGUGCCUAG